RNAcentral lists this long non-coding RNA (1039 nucleotides) under Gossypium barbadense (sea-island cotton). RNAcentral describes it as "long non-coding RNA (GBAR_LNC021995)". Lineage: Eukaryota; Viridiplantae; Streptophyta; Magnoliopsida; Malvales; Malvaceae. The record is from RNAcentral.
CAUUUAGUACUAAACUGUUCUUCAUUUAUAUAAACCUAACAAAUAAGUAAUUUCAAAAGAACUUUAAAAUAAACAAAUAAGUAUUAACUGGGCAACAAAUGAAGGCAACAACGUAAAACAUUUUCAAUCCUUAAAUUAAAUGCACACGGUUCAGGUUUUGCAUUUAAGAUUAUUAUUCAAUGAUCAUAGUUGUCCCAAGUCCGAAUGUCGUGUAUUUGGCAACAAAUUUAUCCAAUGUAUACUCUUAUACUCUGUAAUACCCAAUUAUUGCCCGGCCCAAUAAACACCAAAAAUGAAUAAAAAUAAUAAAUAAAAUAAAAGUCCAAAUGUCCAUUACAUUGACCCAAUUUAAAAUCCCAAAAUUACAUACCCAAACCCCACUAAACAGAGACCCAGUACAAUCCUGGCCCAAAACUGAAACAAAAUCUGAAACCCUAGCAAGCUCCAGCCAUCGUGCCGCAGCAGUAGCCCAGGCGCGCCUCUUCCCCGUGCGUGCAUCUCCAGGCUGGCCAUGUACCUGCAACUCAACAAACAAGGAAACAAGCAGCAAAAAGAAAGGGACUAAUAGCAAAAUGGAAGCAAAGAACUAUUUUCCUUUUUUUAUAUCUAUUUUUCAGUUUCGUUUUGACUAUAAAAGCCAAUUAAAAUCUGUAAAAAGUGAACGGAACACGAAAUAAAUAAAUAAAAAAACAAAUCGAAUAGCUCUGUUAUUUCAAGGUGAUUUUUCAGAUUCUGUCAAUUUUUUUAUCUCUUUGCAUUAUCAUCUUUUUAUUAAGAUACAAAACGAAAAGAAUGAAGAGGGAAGAUUUACCUCUGCUAGUCUGCCGUCGGCCCUUGUCUGCUCUGUUAAAAUCAGAGUUGAAGGGGCUAUUGUUUCGGCUGUGAACAGCGGGGAGAAGAUAGCCUAAGGCAUUGUUUUUCGUUUUAUUUUCUUUAAAAGUGGUAAAAAAUUUCUAAUUAGGUUUUAUUUUGUUUUAUUUUCUAAUUAGGUUUGGGAUUUUAUAAAGUAAUAAAAAUGACGUCGUUUAGGGCCUGCUUC